AGAGUUUGAUCCUGGCUCAGGAUGAACGCUAGCGACAGGCUUAACACAUGCAAGUCGAGGGGCAGCGGGGGAGCAGCAAUGCUCCCGCCGGCGACCGGCGCACGGGUGAGUAACACGUAUGGAACCUGCCCGCAGCAGGGGGAUAAGCGGAAGAAAUUCCGUCUAAUACCGCGUAACACCGCGGAGGGGCAUCCCUCGGCGGUUAAAGAUUCAUCGGCUGCGGAUGGCCAUGCGGCGCAUUAGCUAGUCGGCGGGGUAACGGCCCACCGAGGCGACGAUGCGUAGGGGUUCUGAGAGGAAGGUCCCCCACACUGGUACUGAGACACGGACCAGACUCCUACGGGAGGCAGCAGUGAGGAAUAUUGGUCAAUGGCCGGGAGGCUGAACCAGCCAAGUCGCGUGAGGGAAGACGGCCCUACGGGUUGUAAACCUCUUUUGUCAGGGAGCAAGAGGCGGGUCGGGACCUGCUGUGAGAGUACCCGAAGAAAAAGCAUCGGCUAACUCCGUGCCAGCAGCCGCGGUAAUACGGAGGAUGCGAGCGUUAUCCGGAUUUAUUGGGUUUAAAGGGUGCGCAGGCGGAGGCACAAGUCAGCGGUAAAAUCGCGGGGCUCAACCCCGCUCCGCCGUUGAAACUGUGUCCCUUGAGUGCGCGAAGGGUAGGCGGAAUGCGUGGUGUAGCGGUGAAAUGCAUAGAUAUCACGCAGAACUCCGAUCGCGAAGGCAGCCUACCGGCGCGCAACUGACGCUCAUGCACGAAAGCGUGGGUAUCGAACAGGAUUAGAUACCCUGGUAGUCCACGCAGUAAACGAUGAAUGCUAUCUGUCCGGCCGGAAUGACGGCUGGGUGGCACAGCGAAAGCGUUAAGCAUUCCACCUGGGAAGUACGCCGGCAACGGUGAAACUCAAAGGAAUUGACGGGGGCCCGCACAAGCGGAGGAACAUGUGGUUUAAUUCGAUGAUACGCGAGGAACCUUACCCGGGCUCAAACGACACAGGGAUGCCGCCGAAAGGUGGCAGUCCUUCGGGACCUGUGUCGAGGUGCUGCAUGGUUGUCGUCAGCUCGUGCCGUGAGGUGUCGGCUUAAGUGCCAUAACGAGCGCAACCCCCAUCUUCAGUUGCCAUCAGGUAGAGCUGGGCACUCUGGAGAGACUGCCGGCGCAAGCUGCGAGGAAGGCGGGGAUGACGUCAAAUCAGCACGGCCCUUACGUCCGGGGCGACACACGUGUUACAAUGGCAGGUACAGCGGGAAGCCAGGCGGCGACGCCGAGCGGAACCCGAAAACCUGUCUCAGUUCGGAUUGCAGGCUGCAACCCGACUCCGUGAAGCUGGAUUCGCUAGUAAUCGCGCAUCAGCCAUGGCGCGGUGAAUACGUUCCCGGGCCUUGCACACACCGCCCGUCAAG
Molecule: ribosomal RNA, 1401 nt
Filed under: uncultured bacterium
Lineage: Bacteria
Description: bacterial SSU rRNA
Rfam family: Bacterial small subunit ribosomal RNA
Source: RNAcentral